Callithrix jacchus (white-tufted-ear marmoset) is the source of this 1576-nucleotide long non-coding RNA. Lineage: Eukaryota; Metazoa; Chordata; Mammalia; Primates; Cebidae. The record is from Ensembl.
GUGUCAGGCAAUCUGGACUUUCCAGUGAUGCCGCUGAGAUAGCACCCCUCAAAAGAGCAGUAUUUCCAUUUCUAGAUGGUGGAUCUUCAGAUAAAUUCUGCCAUUUUCAUUUCACUUCCUGAAAGUCAGGGUCAGCCCGUGAAAAAUUGUUAACAUGCUAAAUGUGAAAUGUCAACCCUCACUCUAAACUUUCCCUGUUCAGAGCAUCAGACAAAGACUUCGUUGGGUUUUAUAGUGGCUUUCUGAUUUUUGGUAGUCCAUUUAAGAAGGGCGUUUGAGACGGAGGACUCAAGAUGGCGCUGUGAGAACAACCCAGGAUUGGAGCUCUCGUUGAAUCCGCAAACGGGACAUGGAUGAAUCUGGAGAACGUCAUCCUCAGCAAACUGACACAAGAACAGAAAUUGAAACACCGCAUAUUCUCACUCAUAGGCGGGUUUUGGGGUACAUGUGAAGAACAUGCAAGAUUGUUGCAUAGGGACAUGGAUGAAUCUGGAGAACGUCAUCCUCAGCAAACUGACACAAGAACAGAAAAUGAAACACCGCAUAUUCUCACUCAUAGGCGGGUGAUGAAAAAUGAGAACACAUGGACACAGAGAGGGGAGUACUAAACACUGGGGUCUAUUGGGGGGAAAAGGGGAGGGCCAGUGGGAGGGGGAGGUGGGGAGGGAUAGCCUGGGGAGAAAUGCCAAAUGUGGGUGAAGGGGAGAAGGAAAGAAAAGCAAACUGCCAUGUGUGUUCCUACGCAACUGUCUUGCAUGCUCUGCUCAUGUACCCCAAAACCUAAAAUCCAAUAAAAAAUUAAAAAAAAAAAAAAGAAAUACAGGAUUAUGUGAAAAGACCUAAUCUAUGUUUGAUAGGUAUACCUGAAUGUGACGGAGAGAAUGAAUCCAAGCUGGAAAACACUCUUCAGGAUAUUAUCAAGGAGAACUUCCCCAACCUAGCAAGGCAGGCCAACAUUCAAGUCCAGGACAUACAGAGAACACCACAAAGACAUUCCUCAAUAAGAGCAACCCCAAGGCACAUAAUCAUCAGAUUCACCAGGGUUGAAAUGAAGGAAAAAUUGCUAAGGGAAGCCAGAGAGAAAGGUCAGGUUACUCACAAAGGGAAGCCCAUCAGACUCACAGCAGAUCUCUUGGCAGAAACCCUACAAUCCAGAAGAGAGUGGGGGCCAAUAUUCAACAUCCUUAAAGAAAAGAACUUUCAACCUAGAAUUUCAUAUCCUGCCAAACUAAGCUUCGUAAGCGAAAGAGAAAGAAAAUCCUUUACAAACAAGUAAUUGCUGAGAGAUUUCAUCACCACCAGGCCUGCCUUACAAGAGCUCCUGAAAGAAGCACUAAACAUAGAAAGAACAACCAGUAUCCACCACUCCAAAAACGUACCAAAUGGUAAAGACCCUCAGCAUAAUGAAGAAACUGCAUCAACUAAUGGGCAAAACAACCAGCUAGCAUCAAAAUGGCAGGAUCAAAUUCACACAUAACAAUAUUAACCUUAAAUGUAAAUGGGCUGAAUGUCCCAAUCAAAAGACACACACUGGCAAAUUGGAUAAAAAGCAAAAUUCAUUGGUGUGCUGCAUCCA